Molecule: ribosomal RNA, 207 nt
Filed under: uncultured bacterium
Lineage: Bacteria
Description: partial 16S ribosomal RNA
Rfam family: Bacterial small subunit ribosomal RNA
Source: RNAcentral
CUCGUAGGUGGCCAAUUAAGUCAGACGUGAAAUCCCCAGGCUUAACUUGGGAACUGCGUCUGAUACUGAGUGGCUUGAAUUCGGGAGAGGGAUGCAGAAUUCCAGGUGUAGCGGUGAAAUGCGUAGAUAUCUGGAGGAAUACCGGUGGCGAAGGCGGCAUCCUGGACCGAGAUUGACACUGAGGAGCGAAAGCCAGGGGAGCAAACG